AUGGCAGCAGCUGCUGGUGUGUCUGGCAGAUGUGAUCUUACUAUGAGAUGGGAUCAAGCUGGAGAACAACUUUGUUCUGCAGUGUUCCUGGAGGGCAGCCUUUGUAAGGAUUUCUGCGUGUGCCUGCCCCCUUUUAUCAUGUUUACUGGCUUCCUUGGGGUUUCCUCAUCUGCUGUGAGCUAUCUGCAUCUUUUGGCCCUUACUGUGCUACUGCCGUCAUCCUUGGGCAGCUGAGUAACCCUUUAUGGGCUACCAAACAGCCAAAGAACCUCCUGAAGUAGACUCCUGGUGCUAUUUUAGGCUGUUGAAUAGAGGGAAGCAGGUAAUGCUUUUUUUUUUUAAUAAGUAUGUCCGGGUGAAUUUAUGAAUAACAUUGAAUGGAAUUGGAGCUUCAGAGAGAAUAAUCUCUUUUAAAAAGUCAUUGUGUGAUAUUGGUAGUUGUCUAGCACCUCUAAAUGAUUCUGUUUUGAGACUCUCAUCUGCAGAGAUGUUCAGGAGAGCUCUUCUGUGAGAAGGGUCGGUGCUGAGGGACUGCUUUUUUACCUGUGUAUGUGAAAUUCCCAAAUUCCUGCCUGCUUCUAUGAAACUGCAAUGGCAAUUCUGGUAAACUCUGACAAUGCAGUUUGUUUACUCAGUAAUUUGGAAUUAAAACUUAGAUUGUGGUGACAAGGCAAUAUCUUUUGAUAUAUACUGUUGCUAACACUAUCUCUGGGUGGAAAACAGCAUAUGCUACUUUAUUGACUCUUUUUAUAAGUCUAAGACCUGAUUUCUCUACCAUGCAAAUGAGCACUAGUGUAAUCCUAUACAUCUAUGUUUACACAUACAGAAUCUAUCAGUGUAAAACCAAAGGCCGUUAACAGGAUUUCUUCACUGUUGACACAAGUUUCCAUGUUCCCAUGGUCUGUCUUAAAUGUUACCUUUUGUGAACAUUGCUUGGGUGCAGAGAGGAAAGGCAGGCCUUCUAAACACAGCUAUGCUUUUUCCAGUUCCCUGCUCUGAUUAAGGUAGUAAAAGCACCUGAGUAGCUACAAUAUUUGGCAAUUGGUUUGUAUUUUCUUUCUAUUCACAUGAUUGUAAGUAAAGAGGGGGAAAAAUAGAAGGUUAGAAAUGUCAGAAUUUGGAAAAUAAUGUGAUGAAAUACUUAAAAGCUACUUCGAGAAACAUAAGACUAUGGAACCUCUAGAUUGUCUCCUUUAUUCUCUGCUUUUCAAAAUCUACAAGCAAUGUGGGUUAAAAUAAACAAGGAUGAAAAUAUUAGCA
Molecule: long non-coding RNA, 1260 nt
Filed under: Numida meleagris (helmeted guineafowl)
Lineage: Eukaryota; Metazoa; Chordata; Aves; Galliformes; Numididae
Description: lncRNA (ENSNMEG00000020144.1)
Source: RNAcentral